CAGCAGGCACAAGGCCCUGCAUGUGACAGCAAGGGCAGUGCAGCUGCUCUGGGCACAUCAGCUCACUUCAUUAAACUGCACUGCCUUCAGCAACAGGAUGCUGAGAGAAAAGUCUCUCUGAGGCUAAUGCUGGCAACAGAAAAUUACCUGGUCAUCUCAGGCAGAAGUAAUCUUUGGAGUCUGUGCCUAAAAAUGAAGGCCUCCUUCCUACAGUCCAUUGCAAAGAAUACAAGCUAGAAAGAAAUACAUCUAAAUGUCACCCCAUUAGGCUGGGCAAAAUUUGCGAUGCCCAUUGUAUUCCAUAUUUUUAUAGAAUCAUAGAAUGGUUUGAACCUUAAAGAUCAUCUUAUUCCAGCUGCCUGCAAUGGGCAGGGACACCUUCCACUAGACUAGGUUUCUCCAAAUCCCAUCCAGCCUGACCUUGAAUAUUUCCAGGGAUGGAGCAGCCACAGCUUCUCUGGGAAUCUUUGUCAGGGCCUCACAGGGAAGAACUUCUUCCUAAUAGCCAAUAUAACCCUGCCCUCUGUCAGUUUGAAGCCACUCAUUUUUGUAUUUGCUGCCCAAAACUGACAAAGAAACAAACCCUCCCCAAACCACCCCACCACAUUUUGUUGCAUCCAAUGCUAAUUCUAGCAAUAUAAUUUCAAAAGGAAAUUCAAAACGGUUUUAUCAUUUUCCUUCUUCCUGUUCUUCCAGAAAUAGCAAUGGCUAAUAUGGUCUGUCUCACUUUGUCAGACUCUGAGACUUCUGGGGGCUGUGUAAUUAGCCUUUACUAGAAUUCUUCCCUUUCUCACAACAGUAUCAAGCACCACAUUACACAGUAGUUUGUCACAGAUAAUUCUUUUUUUUUUAGAGAAGUGUUUUUUGCACAUCCUGACCCAAGCGAGCUCCCAAGGUCUCUCAGCUCCAUGUAUUUCAACAGACAAGACAGACUUAGUGUGGAUCAGAAUGUUUGCAGAUGUAUUUAAGAAGUCUCAGAACCUUGUACAGAGUGUUCCAGGCCAGAAGUACAGUACCUUUAAAAUCACUAUGAAAACAAAGCACUGCACCACACACAUUCCUUGGCCUGGGCACAGGAGGGAACCAGCCCAGCUGACAGCCUGAAGGCACAUUGCUCAUCCUGCUGUGGAAAGGAGCUCCAGCAGAACAAGGCCAUGGCUCUGUACCCUCCUCAGACCAUUUGAUCUGCCUCAAUGCAGAGCAGUUUUACCCUUGCUAAAGUCCCUCAGCUCAUGGGAUGAAAAUUCUCACCUGCAGGACAACGGGGAGUAGAAACAAUCCCAGAGUCCAAGCUGGGGACUGCAGGUGUGACCUGCUCCACCCCCCAGACACCCAGGAGCUUCAGUUAAUUGCUGGGUUUUUGAAUUAUUUCUGCUUUCUGUAGAAUGGGAAUCAUUCCAACUUAGGGAAAGAAGACUCAUAGGAUUACCCAAAUAUAUAACAAAAAAAUAAUUAUAUAGAAACAGAUUUUUCAGAGCAAGAAAAAAAAUCAGAGAGAUAAAAGAGGAAUAUGUGUUGCAGUGCCAGGUGGCUCUUUCUCUUUGGUCAUCUCACCAGUUCCUACAGGACAUGAGUAAUACACGGACAAAUGUAAGGGAAUGGCUGGCUGACUCCUAGGCUCAUGUAACAAGAUGAAACUGCAGUUUUCACACUAUCAAAUUGAAAGCCUAAUCAAAUUAUACAGCCAUGCCAGAGACUUGGCACUGGACCCAGCAAAAAUGCAAAGUCAGUUCAGUGGGAUGUGAAUCCUGUGUUGGGUGCCACAGGUCAGACACUGCCCUGGUGCCUGCAGGGCUCUGGGGAGUUUGGACAGGUCUUAGGGAAGACAGGCUGUUCCACAUGCACACCUGGUAACUUCAUUUUUCUGUGCUUCUGAUUGUGUUUUCCCAGUGAAAGCCCAGUGGAGUCAAUGGAAAAUUUCCCUGUUGGCUGCUUUGGGCCAAGACCCAAAUUUCUACCUUUUGUUCAUCUCCCUCCUCUCUCACUGGUCUGUGGAGAAAUGAUUCCACCUGAGGGAGAAAAUGUUACACAAGGUAAUCCAAAUCCUUCCUGCAGUCUAUCACCUCAAUUUACACCAGAUAUACUCCUAGUUUCCUACCUGCAAGCAUUAGCAGGCAUAGCUCCCACUUACACAGGGUACAGCCUCUCAGAGAACAGCUAAGGCACUAAAAACCUUCAGCUGCCUCACACACCAACUUAAAACUCUGCAAAGGACAUGAAAAUACAUAAAUUUGUGAAGUCAGAAACUGAAAAUCAAAGAGCAGUUGAAGGAAAAGCAUGUUUGAUUUGAUCUUGUCUCACUGGGCAAUGCAUGUAGAGUUUUACUGGGUGUUGCUCACAGGAAAAUUCCCCAGCCAUUAACCAGCACUGCCAAGCCCACCGUGCCCCAGGUGCUACAGCUAAACUUCUUUUAAAUCCCUCCAGGGAUGGCCACGCCAUCACUUCUCUGGGAAGCCAGCCUCCUUCCAGAGAGCUGUAGAGUGGGGGGAGGUUUCCCCUGAAGCUCACUUUUCAGAGGUAGGCAAAUUCUCACUAUCUCCAUUGGUUUCCUUGCACAGUAACCUGUAAUUCCUCUUUCUGAGCUGCAGCAGCUGCUCCAUGGCUGGCAGCACAUGCACCCCACUGAGUGCACAAGCGUGGCAAGGACUUGGUUCCCAGCACCCCACCACCACGCUGGCCACAAAGCACUCUCACAAGCCACUGGAGACUGGCAU
Molecule: long non-coding RNA, 2714 nt
Filed under: Taeniopygia guttata (zebra finch)
Lineage: Eukaryota; Metazoa; Chordata; Aves; Passeriformes; Estrildidae
Description: lncRNA (ENSTGUG00000021945.1)
Source: RNAcentral